UACGAAGGGUGCAAGCGUUACUCGGAAUUACUGGGCGUAAAGCGUGCGUAGGUGGUUUGUUAAGUCUGAUGUGAAAGCCCUGGGCUCAACCUGGGAACGGCAUUGGAAACUGGCUUACUAGAGUGCGGUAGAGGGGUGCGGAAUUCCCGGUGUAGCAGUGAAAUGCGUAGAUAUCGGGAGGAACAUCUGUGGCGAAGGCGACACCCUGGACCAGCACUGACACUGAGGCACGAAAGCGUGGGGAGCAAACAGG
RNAcentral lists this ribosomal RNA (253 nucleotides) under uncultured bacterium. Its description in RNAcentral is "partial 16S ribosomal RNA". It matches the Rfam family "Bacterial small subunit ribosomal RNA", at positions 524 to 776 of the family's 1533-position model. The record is from RNAcentral.